ACGCUCGACACCUACGGGAGGUAGCAGUAGGGAAUCUUCCACAAUGGGCGCAAGCCUGAUGGAGCAACACCGCGUGAGUGAAGAAGGGUUUCGGCUCGUAAAGCUCUGUUGUUGGAGAAGAACGUGCGUGAGAGUAACUGUUCACGCAGUGACGGUAUCCAACCAGAAAGUCACGGCUAACUACGUGCCACAGCCGCAGUAAUCUGAGCGGGCUGGCAAGGC
This 222-nucleotide ribosomal RNA is filed under the name uncultured bacterium. RNAcentral describes it as "partial 16S ribosomal RNA". It matches the Rfam family "Bacterial small subunit ribosomal RNA", at positions 328 to 539 of the family's 1533-position model. The record is from RNAcentral.